UGAAAAGCUGUGUAAAUGUCUGUUAGGUC
RNAcentral lists this non-coding RNA (29 nucleotides) under Homo sapiens (human). Lineage: Eukaryota; Metazoa; Chordata; Mammalia; Primates; Hominidae. The record is from RNAcentral.